RNAcentral lists this transfer RNA (75 nucleotides) under Acaryochloris marina MBIC10699. Its description in RNAcentral is "tRNA-Pro". It matches the Rfam family "tRNA". From Rfam's summary of the family: Transfer RNA (tRNA) molecules are approximately 80 nucleotides in length. Their secondary structure includes four short double-helical elements and three loops (D, anti-codon, and T loops). The record is from RNAcentral. Lineage: Bacteria; Bacillati; Cyanobacteriota; Cyanophyceae; Acaryochloridales; Acaryochloridaceae.
CCGGGUGUAGCGCAGUUUGGUAGCGCGCCUGGUUUGGGACCAGGAUGUCGCAGGUUCAAAUCCUGCCACUCGGAC